UCAAGCGAAUAAGCGCACACGGUGGAUGCCUAGGCGGUCAGAGGCGAUGAAGGACGUGGUAGCCUGCGAAAAGUGUCGGGGAGCUGGCAACAAGCUUUGAUCCGGCAAUAUCCGAAUGGGGAAACCCACUGCUUCGGCAGUAUCUUGCAGUGAAUUCAUAGCUGCUUGAAGCGAACCCGGUGAACUGAAAUAUCUAAGUAACCGGAGGAAAAGAAAUCAACCGAGAUUCCCUGAGUAGUGACGAGCGAACGGGGAACAGCCCUUAAGCUGGAAUGGCUUUAGAAAAACAAUCUGGAAAGAUUGGCCAUAGAAGGUGAUAGCCCUGUAUUUAAAAGGGCCACUCCAGUGAAGACGAGUAGGGCGGGGCACGUGAAACCCUGUCUGAAUAUGGGGGGACCAUCCUCCAAGGCUAAAUACUCCUGACCGACCGAUAGUGAACCAGUACCGUGAGGGAAAGGCGAAAAGAACCCCGGAGAGGGGAGUGAAAUAGAUCCUGAAACCGUGUGCGUACAAGCAGUAGGAGCUCGCAAGAGUGACUGCGUACCUUUUGUAUAAUGGGUCAGCGACUUACUGUUCGUGGCAAGCUUAACCGUAUAGGGGAGGCGAAGGGAAACCGAGUCUGAUAAGGGCGCAUAGUCGCGGGCAGUAGACCCGAAACCGGGUGAUCUAGUCAUGGCCAGGGUGAAGGUGCCGUAACAGGUACUGGAGGCCCGAACCCACGUCUGUUGCAAAAGACGGGGAUGAGCUGUGAUUAGGAGUGAAAAGCUAAUCGAACCCGGAGAUAGCUGGUUCUCCUCGAAAGCUAUUUAGGUAGCGCCUCGGACGAAUACUACUGGGGGUAGAGCACUGUUAUGGCUAGGGGGUCAUCGCGACUUACCAAACCAUUGCAAACUCCGAAUACCAGUACGUACUAUCCGGGAGACACACGGCGGGUGCUAACGUCCGUCGUGAAAAGGGAAACAACCCAGACCCACAGCUAAGGUCCCAAAUUCACUGCUAAGUGGAAAACGAUGUGGAAAGGCAUAGACAGCCAGGAGGUUGGCUUAGAAGCAGCCACCCUUUAAAGAAAGCGUAAUAGCUCACUGGUCGAGUCGGUCUGCGCGGAAGAUUUAACGGGGCUAAGCAGUGAACCGAAGCUUGGGGUGCGUAAAACUUCGGUUUUAUGCGCGGUAGAGGAGCGUUCCGUAAGCCUGCGAAGGUGGAUUGAGAAGUCUGCUGGAGGUAUCGGAAGUGCGAAUGCUGACAUGAGUAACGAUAAUGCGGGUGAAAAGCCCGCACGCCGAAAGCCCAAGGUUUCCUUGCGCAACGUUAAUCGACGCAGGGUUAGUCGGUCCCUAAGGCGAGGGCGAAAGCCGUAGUCGAUGGGAAGCAGGUUAAUAUUCCUGCACCUCGCGUGAGUGCGAUGGAGGGACGGAGAAGGUUAGGUGUACCGGGCGUUGGUUGUCCCGGGGAAAGGCGGUAGGUUUGGAUCUUUGGCAAAUCCGGGAUCCUUUAAGACCGAGCACCGAGACGAGCCUUUAUGGCGAAGUCACUGAUACCACGCUUCCAGGAAAAGCUCCUAAGCUUCAGCUCACGAAGACCGUACCGUAAACCGACACAGGUGGGUAGGAUGAGAAUUCUCAGGCGCUUGAGAGAACUCGGGUGAAGGAACUAGGCAACAUGGCACCGUAACUUCGGGAGAAGGUGCACCCUUUUUGGUGGCUCAUGCGAGCUAUAGCUGAAGAGGGUCGCAGAAACCAGGCCGCUGCGACUGUUUAUCAAAAACACAGCACUCUGCAAACACGAAAGUGGACGUAUAGGGUGUGACGCCUGCCCGGUGCUGGAAGGUUAAUUGAUGGGGUCAGCCGCAAGGCGAAGCUCUUGAUCGAAGCCCCAGUAAACGGCGGCCGUAACUAUAACGGUCCUAAGGUAGCGAAAUUCCUUGUCGGGUAAGUUCCGACCUGCACGAAUGGCGUAACGACAGCGGCGCUGUCUCCACCCGAGACUCAGUGAAAUUGAAAUCGCUGUGAAGAUGCAGCGUUCCCGUGGCAAGACGGAAAGACCCCGUGAACCUUUACUAUAGCUUUACACUGAACGUUGAGUUCGUCUGUGUAGGAUAGGUGGGAGGCUAUGAAACUGUGGCGCUAGCUGCAGUGGAGCCAACCUUGAAAUACCACCCUGUCGUGCUUGACGUUCUAACCUAGAUCCGUUAUCCGGAUCAGGGACCGUGUAUGGUGGGUAGUUUGACUGGGGCGGUCUCCUCCUAAAGAGUAACGGAGGAGCACGAAGGUACGCUCAGCGCGGUCGGACAUCGCGCACUGUGUGCAAAGGCAUAAGCGUGCUUGACUGCAAGAUCGACGGAUCAAGCAGGUACGAAAGUAGGUCUUAGUGAUCCGGUGGUUCUGUAUGGAAGGGCCAUCGCUCAACGGAUAAAAGGUACUCCGGGGAUAACAGGCUGAUACCGCCCAAGAGUUCAUAUCGACGGCGGUGUUUGGCACCUCGAUGUCGGCUCAUCACAUCCUGGGGCUGUAGUCGGUCCCAAGGGUAUGGCUGUUCGCCAUUUAAAGUGGUACGCGAGCUGGGUUCAGAACGUCGUGAGACAGUUCGGUCCCUAUCUGCCAUGGGCGUUGGAAGUUUGAGAGGGGCUGCUCCUAGUACGAGAGGACCGGAGUGGACGAACCUCUGGUGUUCCGGUUGUCACGCCAGUGGCAUUGCCGGGUAGCUAUGUUCGGAAGCGAUAACCGCUGAAAGCAUCUAAGCGGGAAGCGCGCCUCAAGAUGAGACUUCCCGGGGCACAAGCCCCCUAAAGGAACCAUAUAGACUAUGUGGUUGAUAGGUCAGGUGUGUAAGUACAGCAAUGUAUUGAGCUAACUGAUACUAAUGAUCCGUGCGGCUUGACCA
Molecule: ribosomal RNA, 2880 nt
Filed under: Xanthomonas campestris pv. campestris
Lineage: Bacteria; Pseudomonadati; Pseudomonadota; Gammaproteobacteria; Lysobacterales; Lysobacteraceae
Description: 23S ribosomal RNA
Rfam family: Bacterial large subunit ribosomal RNA
Source: RNAcentral